AAUCUUCAGGGCGAGGUGAAAUUCCUCACCGGCUGUAACUGGAUAUAACCAGAAGCCAGCGAGCGAGUCAAUGAUGAUGAGCAUGAUACGGUGCGAUUCCGUAGCCGACAGUAAAGUCUGGAUGGAAGAAGAG
RNAcentral lists this non-coding RNA (133 nucleotides) under uncultured Treponema sp. RNAcentral describes it as "FMN riboswitch (RFN element)". It matches the Rfam family "FMN riboswitch aptamer (RFN element)". From Rfam's summary of the family: The RFN element is a highly conserved domain that is found frequently in the 5'-untranslated regions of prokaryotic mRNAs that encode for flavin mononucleotide (FMN) biosynthesis and transport proteins. The record is from RNAcentral. Lineage: Bacteria; Pseudomonadati; Spirochaetota; Spirochaetia; Treponematales; Treponemataceae.